AACAAGGAGGUGCGUGGGGGAGGAGGAGGAGGAGGAGGAGGAAGAGGGUCAACUCAGGGCUCUGCAUUUUGCUGCAAGGGGUCAGCUCCUGUCAGCAGACACAGAAAGGGAGCCAGCGUGCAAACUGAAUGCCUGUGAAAUUUGGGAUGCACAGGACAGACCCCUCAGGAGGAAGCCUGUGGCUCUCGCUUGAGUCAAUAGAAGUGCCAGCCUUGUACCUGCACCCAAAUGUGUGGAAGAAGGGCCCAGGCCAAUAUGUGGAAGGGCAGGCGGUGGUGGGCCGGGAGAGGAAAGGUCUUGUCCAUGUGCCAGAGACCAUGAGUUGCUGAGAGUGAUCAAGAACCAUCCUUUUUAUCUGCCUCUUUCCAGGGAAGGCCAUAGGUGAACAGAGUGAUGGAUGAAAAAGUGAAACCGGCAGGAACAUAAAGCAAUACUGCCUACUACGACUUACUACCAGAGCAUGGCAAUGAAAUCAGGAAGUGGGAGGGUCGGGAACUCACAGGAACAGCAGAGGAGCAGGAUCACGACAGCCUCGAUCUGCUGCUCGGAGAGGAGAUGGGGGCUGAUCUCUACAGACUCUGGCAAUGGAGCUACCAUGUUUUCAGAUUUAAGCCUUGACAUAUGAGCCAGGCUCUGGUGCCUACAAUCUGUGGCUUCCUUGAAGCAAACUGGCAACAGGAGGAUAGCCAGAGAGCCAGGAAGUCAGAACACCAUGGACAGCUGCUGAUGGGAAAAGGGCUUCCAUAUGGAAUACACAUGGCAGGAGAAAGGAGACAAGGUGGAGUCAGCUGGCAAGGUAAGCCCUGCCCUGCCCGCCCUCAUGGUGCUGGUUUGGCCCAUGGGUGGCAGAACCAAGACGCUGUUGGGUGAAGUAUAACACAGCAGGAGAACAGAGCAGGCCAAGGGGUAAAGGGCCCCUUUUUCAGAUGCAAUCCUAACCGCACUUUUGCCCACUCGGGUGAAAGGCACUGGUUCUCACUUUGAAUUCUGGGGAUCAUUUGUCGUUUUGCAAAUGUGCAUCUCAAUUACUGCAAAGCGGUGUCCUCUUUUCAUUCUCCUUUUUAAGGGGAGCACAAGUGGCCAUCCUAGAAUGAUGGUUGGCUUCACAAGGUUGGUGUACCUGUACCGGCAGCGAGGGGGGGGGGAGAGGGAGGGCUUUUUCCCCCACUUCCCUUGGCAGAAUUAGCUCCAGCCCUGAGAGAUAGUUUGGGUUGUGGGGAAGGAACACUUGGGUGGAGGGUUGUGGGGCUUUCUCUUCUUUGCAAGGCAAAUAAGCCCCAGCCCCCUCCCAAUGAAGCUCUCCUGGGGCAAUUCAGAGAGUAUCAGAGCAACACAGACUGUGUUGCACUGCCCCCCCGCCCCCCUCCAGCCAGCUCUCUCUCUUUUUUGGCAGCGUUUGCCACAUCCAGUCUGUUUAGCAUCAGCUUAGCCCCAUCGCGGCAGGCUGGGACCUCCGCAUUCGAGGCUAUUUUUGCAUUCAGUUCAGUUUUUAUCAUUUUAAGGUUCACGCGUUUCUAAUUGUUAUGAAUACCAUGGUAAAAUUAAUAGUUCUAUGGUUGGUUUAUUACAUUUAGUAAAAUUAUGGGCAUGUAAUGUUUGCCAAGAAAAGACACUGCA
Molecule: long non-coding RNA, 1617 nt
Organism: Pogona vitticeps (central bearded dragon)
Lineage: Eukaryota; Metazoa; Chordata; Lepidosauria; Squamata; Agamidae
Source: Ensembl